This 333-nucleotide long non-coding RNA is filed under the name Elaeis guineensis (African oil palm). RNAcentral describes it as "long non-coding RNA (EGUI_LNC048185)". Lineage: Eukaryota; Viridiplantae; Streptophyta; Magnoliopsida; Arecales; Arecaceae. The record is from RNAcentral.
GGGUUAGAUCUUGAAAAAGAGGGUUAGAUCUUAAAACUUUUUCAAGAUCAUACAGCGGAAGACUAAAAUAAAUCAAAAUUUAUUUUUUAAGAUAAAAAAAUCUCUAGAUCUAAGAUCCUAUUACAUGAUUAUUACAUGGCAUUAAAUCAGAAAUUAAAAUAUAUAAAUAUAGCAUGAACUACAUGUUGAUCAUAUCAACAUGUUUCUAUACUACAUCUAAUGUAUGUAUUAAACAAUAGAUCAGAUCUAUUACCUUGCAAGUUAGAUGCUCUAACCUUGCUGAUCCGGGCUUAAGGAUGAUGUUGCAAGCCGCACACGCGUCCGGCCUCUAGG